This 381-nucleotide long non-coding RNA is filed under the name Rattus norvegicus (Norway rat). RNAcentral describes it as "long non-coding RNA NONRATT021021". Lineage: Eukaryota; Metazoa; Chordata; Mammalia; Rodentia; Muridae. The record is from RNAcentral.
CCUGUUGUGGCUGCUGGGCAUAAGUGCAAGGCCCUGGCAUUUGUGCACAUCAAAGACCAAGCAAGCCCUCACCAGGGAGCUGUCUCCUGGCUUCUGCAGUGUUUAACCUUCAGUGUGUUGCAUUGUCUUUCUCUCCCAGGUUCUGUUUGUGGCUGGUUUGGCUUUUGUAAUUGGUCUAGAAAGAACAUUCAGAUUCUUCUUCCAGAAGCACAAAGUGAAAGCCACUGGAUUUUUCCUGGGUGGUGUGUUCGUGGUCCUUAUUGGUUGGCCUUUGAUAGGCAUGAUCUUCGAAAUUUACGGAUUCUUUCUCUUGUUCAGGUGAGGUCCUUCUUUUCUGUCAUGAGCCAGUGUCUCAGAUAACGUUUGCAGAGACCGGGGUAG